Molecule: unclassified non-coding RNA, 157 nt
Filed under: uncultured Ascomycota
Lineage: Eukaryota; Fungi; Ascomycota
Description: sequence contains ITS1
Source: RNAcentral
CUGUAUGCGUGGCCUCCGGGCCAACGCGACACCCCCUGUGUACCAUCCGGUUGCUUCGGUGGGCCGCCUCGGCCGCUGCCUUUGGGCGGCGUGUGCCCGCCGGAAGACCCUCAAACGCUGGCUUUUGCGGUGAUGUCUGAGCAAAUGAUAAUCAUCA